This is a long non-coding RNA of Fundulus heteroclitus (mummichog), 445 nucleotides long. RefSeq lists it as uncharacterized. The record is from RefSeq and is a predicted model, not a curated record. The transcript has 2 exons. NCBI's taxonomy places the organism in Eukaryota, Metazoa, Chordata, Actinopteri, Cyprinodontiformes, Fundulidae.
GAACAUUUAUGUGGAAGAACAGGAGCCAAGUAAGAAACGGAAAAACAAAUCCACCUUCAAGUCUGUUUUCACUCACAACCAGCUCUGCUCACAGGGGAGAUUAAUCAGCAGGGCAUCGGCCAGCAUAAAUAGCACACGCAGCCAAGUCACUCCCACGCAAUUAAUUAAGGGAAUCUCCUCCCAAAACUCCCCACGUCUUCUUGUUUUGCUUCCUCUUUGCCUUGAUAUUUGACUCAGCCAGUAGGUUUCUGUUUUUGUUACAGCUGGUUUAAGAAGAAGGCUGCUCAUUAAAGGGAUUUUUGGUUUUUAAUGUUUUUACUCUUUCUCUCUUUUCCAUAUUGUGGAAUUAUGUUUUUAUUUCUAUUAUAAAAUAAUGAAUUAUCUUUGUUCAUGCCACACCAUACUGUGUUCAAUAGUGAAAUUAAACGACUGUACUCGGCUGCCA